GUCGAGAAUCUUCCACAAUGGGCGAAAGCCUGAUGGAGCGACGCCGCGUGAAUGAUGAAGCCCUUCGGGGCGUAAAAUUCUUUUCUUAAGGAGAAAGUCCGUUUAUGCGGACUGAUGUUACUUAAGGAAUAAGGGGCUGCUAAACUCGUGCCAGCAGCAGCGGUAAUACGAGUGCCCCAAGCGUUAUCCGGAAUUACUGGGCGUAAAGCGUGCGUAGGCGGUUUUAAUAGUGAGUGGUUAAAUUCUGAAGCUCAACUUCAGAACUGCCAUUCAAACGUUAAAACUAGAGCAGGCAAGAGGCUAAUGGAACCUACCAAGUAGGGGUGAAAUCCGUUGAUAUGGUAGGGAACACCAAAGGCGAAGGCAUUUAGCUGGUGCUUGGCUGACGCUGAGUCACGAAAGCGUGGGGAGCAAAAAGGAUUAGAAACCCGUGUAGUCC
This 439-nucleotide ribosomal RNA is filed under the name uncultured bacterium. Its description in RNAcentral is "bacterial SSU rRNA". It matches the Rfam family "Bacterial small subunit ribosomal RNA", at positions 354 to 796 of the family's 1533-position model. The record is from RNAcentral.